UACAGAGGGUGCGAGCGUUGUUCGGAAUUAUUGGGCGUAAAGAGCUCGUAGGCGGUCUGUCGCGUCGAUCGUGAAAACUUGGGGCUUAACCCUGAGCUUGCGGUCGAUACGGGCAUGACUGGAGUUCGGCAGGGGAGACUGGAAUUCCAGGUGUAGCGGUGAAAUGCGUAGAUAUCUGGAGGAACACCGGUGGCGAAGGCGGCAUCCUGGACCGGCAUUGACGCUGAGGCGCGAAAGCCAGGGGAGCAAACGGG
RNAcentral lists this ribosomal RNA (254 nucleotides) under uncultured bacterium. RNAcentral describes it as "partial 16S ribosomal RNA". It matches the Rfam family "Bacterial small subunit ribosomal RNA", at positions 524 to 776 of the family's 1533-position model. The record is from RNAcentral.